AAUAAGUUCCCUUAUUCAUAACCACUCUGUUUUUGGGUGUUUUUUGCAUUAUUUCCACCCUCCUUGACAAUUUCAUAUUACACCAAGAAGCUUUUCUAUUGGGGUAAUUAAAGACCAAAUCUCACAACUGAAAAAAAAAAUCAAAUUUAGUUGGUAUUUCUAAUAAUAAAAUAAAAAAAAUUAUGAAGUAAGCCACACAUAGUGUGGAUUUAUAAACCAGUGGCAGAGCUAUAUUGAUGGGAGUGAGAUUAGUUCCAAUAAUCUUUAGAUUUUAAUAAAAC
Molecule: long non-coding RNA, 281 nt
Filed under: Capsella rubella
Lineage: Eukaryota; Viridiplantae; Streptophyta; Magnoliopsida; Brassicales; Brassicaceae
Description: long non-coding RNA (CRUB_LNC002202)
Source: RNAcentral